This 571-nucleotide long non-coding RNA is filed under the name Coturnix japonica (Japanese quail). RNAcentral describes it as "lncRNA (ENSCJPG00005002830.1)". The record is from RNAcentral. Lineage: Eukaryota; Metazoa; Chordata; Aves; Galliformes; Phasianidae.
AUCCCAGUCCAUCCCAGUUUAUCCCAGUCCCAUACUGGUCCCAUCCCAGUUCAUCCCAGUCCAUCCCAGUCCCAUCCCAGUCCAUCCCAUUCCACCCCAGUAUGAUCCCAGUCCCAUCCCAUUCCAUCCCAGUCCAUCCCAUUCCAUCCCAGUUCCAUCCCAUUCCAUCCCAGUUCCAUCCCAGUCCCAUCCCAUUCCAUCCCAGUCCAUCCCAGUUCAUCCCAGUUUAUCCCAGUGCCACUCUAUUGCCUUCCCAGUCCAUCCCAGUCCAUCCCAGUCCAUCCCAGUCCAUCCCAGUCCCAUACUGGUCCCAUCCCAUUCCAUCCCAUUCCAUCCCAGUCCCUCCCAUUCCAUCCCAGUCCAUCCCAUUCCAUCCCAGUCCAUCCCAUUCCAUCCCAGUUUGAUCCCAUUCCAUCCCAUUCCAUCCCAGUCCCAUACUGGUCCCAUACUGGUCCCAUACUGGUCCCAUCCCAGUCCCAAUCUCCAUCUCUCUCUUAUUUCUUUCCCAGUUCCUCCCAGUCCCCGUGUCACCCGACUGGCAGCGGCGUCAGACAUGGAGUAUGAACGAAGG